This 1238-nucleotide long non-coding RNA is filed under the name Coturnix japonica (Japanese quail). Its description in RNAcentral is "lncRNA (ENSCJPG00005000095.1)". Lineage: Eukaryota; Metazoa; Chordata; Aves; Galliformes; Phasianidae. The record is from RNAcentral.
AUGUCUUGGAGGUUGCUCCUCGGUGGAGAUUGCUUCAGCAGUUCUCAGCAGACUGAAGGCUUCCAUACAGUGGCUAAAGCCUUCAGAUGUGUAGUGGAAUGGGCCUGGAGCCACCCUACUUCUGUGCAGUCUGCAUCUUCAUGGCUUCUCUUCUUCCACCUUCCCUUUCUCCUGCAGCAGGACUGUAUGAAUGUGGGAGGGUCACACUCCUCAGCUCAUCCCUUUCUCCAAGCUGCUACCGGGAGAGCAAUUCCUUCUUUGCAAUCUGAAAACUAUGGCAUUGGAUAUUACGUUUGUCAAACUAAUUGAAGAUAGACCUUGUGCUGUCCCAAGCCACUACAGCACACUGAAGUCAAUAGCAUUGUACUAACUGUGACAGUAAGCACACCUUGAAGAAAAGGAUUAUUUUCAUGCUACAUCUUGCCUUGUCUGACCUACAUGAAUUAAGCCGCUAAAAUUGUUGUGUGAACAAGUAAAUAGUAAAAGGCCAAGAAAUAUGAGCUAGGAUGUGAAAAGUGUUUCUGCUUCCUUGUGAUGACAAUUUGAAGACUUAACCUUAGCUACAAUUUCCACAGAACUUCAGGGGAUGUCUAGAGAGCUUUUUUAGCAAAGAACUGGGAAUGAUUUUUUUUUUUUUUUUAAUGUGGAAGAGUCUUAAUAUAAACAUGAGUCAUGUCCAAGGCCCGCAGUUCACACUUUGCCAGUUCAAAAUGCAACUCUUUCCAGGAAUGGCUUUCAUCCAGGUUGGCAUGUGAAAGAAAAGUUUUGCUCAGCUUCAACAGUGUAGAGGCACUGAGGCUUUCAAUUGCUACAGUCUUGAAAUGUAAUUUCCCUUCUGUUGCAGAAAUCCUAAGUCACAGCUUGAAUUAGUGACUGAUUACUUCUUAGGAAGGCAGGGCCAGCUAAUGGGAGCUCUGUUGCACCUGAGUGACCAGAAGGGGUGGAACCAGGAUCAGCUUUUUGCAGGCUUUCAGGGUUGUGGUAGUAAGGGCAUCUCAUCUGAAGAUCUCUGCUUAGCUAAGGACCUUACAGGCUUUCCAAAGGCAAGCAGUUUUUUUUAUCUUAUUUCUGUGCUUCACUGGUAUCACAUCUAAACAGAUCCUACCUUGCUGUAGCCUAAGACCUUCCAGCUCUGUCAUCUUGUUACUCUUCCUUAUUGCAUUACACUUACAAAUACUUGUGCUGGUUAUUAUUUUUCUGAUUACAACUGAAAUAAAACACUCAUGUUUCAGAAGGCA